UGGCGCCCAGCGUGGGGGCUCCUGGCACUGGGGAAUCAAUGAGGGAGCCAUUCGAGAAAGCCGGCUAAAAGUGAAAGCAAAUUGAACCAAAGACCAUGGCGAAAGGAAAAACAAAUUAAAUCAAGGAUCAAAGCUAAAAGCAAAAGGACAUUAAAUCAAGGUCGGAGGCCUGUGCGGAUGACUACCCUACAUGCCGCCCGAGUCACAGUGAGUGAAAGGCGACCCCAUUCCCUUUCCCGGACAUGGGUCAAGCAUUGAGCAAACACAAAUUGUUUGUGGGAGGCCUUAUAAAGGCAUUAAAGACAAGGGGGGUAAGGGCUAGAACAAAUGAAUUAUUGCAGUAUUUUCAAUUUAUUCAUAAGGUUUGCUCUU
Molecule: regulatory RNA element, 372 nt
Organism: Cavia porcellus (domestic guinea pig)
Lineage: Eukaryota; Metazoa; Chordata; Mammalia; Rodentia; Caviidae
Rfam family: Mason-Pfizer monkey virus packaging signal
About the family: The packaging signal is located in the 5' UTR and is required for specific RNA encapsidation.
Source: Rfam